This 253-nucleotide ribosomal RNA is filed under the name uncultured bacterium. Its description in RNAcentral is "partial 16S ribosomal RNA". It matches the Rfam family "Bacterial small subunit ribosomal RNA", at positions 524 to 776 of the family's 1533-position model. The record is from RNAcentral.
UACAGAGGGUGCGAGCGUUAAUCGGAAUUACUGGGCGUAAAGCGCGCGUAGGCGGCUUUGCAAGUCGAGUGUGAAAUCCCCAGGCUUAACCUGGGAACUGCAUUCGAGACUGCAUAGCUAGAGUAUGGGAGAGGGAAGUGGAAUUCCUGGUGUAGCGGUGAAAUGCGCAGAUAUCAGGAGGAACACCGGUGGCGAAGGCGGGUCUCUGGGCCGUAACUGACGCUGAGGAGCGAAAGCGUGGGGAGCGAACAGG